RNAcentral lists this transfer RNA (102 nucleotides) under Daldinia decipiens. Its description in RNAcentral is "tRNA-Arg". It matches the Rfam family "tRNA". Rfam says of the family: Transfer RNA (tRNA) molecules are approximately 80 nucleotides in length. Their secondary structure includes four short double-helical elements and three loops (D, anti-codon, and T loops). The record is from RNAcentral. Lineage: Eukaryota; Fungi; Ascomycota; Sordariomycetes; Xylariales; Hypoxylaceae.
GGCCGCUUGGCCCAAUGGUAAGGCGUCUGACUACGACCGAACAUGAUAAAACAUGUUUGAUAAGUUAUCAGGAGAUUCUGGGUUCGAGCCCCAGGGUGGUCA